RNAcentral lists this ribosomal RNA (334 nucleotides) under uncultured eukaryote. RNAcentral describes it as "partial 18S ribosomal RNA". It matches the Rfam family "Eukaryotic small subunit ribosomal RNA", at positions 1470 to 1796 of the family's 1831-position model. The record is from RNAcentral.
CCCUUAGAUGUCCGGGGCUGCACGCGCGCUACACUGAAGGAAUCAGCGUGGCUUUCUCCCUGACCCGAAAGGGUUGGGAAACCCGUUGAAUCUCCUUCGUGAUAGGGAUUGGGGCUUGAAAUUGUUCCCCAUGAACGAGGAAUUCCCAGUAAGCGCGAGUCAUAAGCUCGCGUUGAUUACGUCCCUGCCCUUUGUACACACCGCCCGUCGCUACUACCGAUUGAACGGUUUAGUGAGGGCCUCGGAUUGGUCUCGGCCCGCUCUUUACCGGGCGGCGCCGUUGGUCGAGAAGACGCUCGAACUUGAUCGUUUAGAGGAAGUAAAAGUCGUAACA